CCUACGGGAGGCAGCAGUAGGGAAUUUUCGUCAAUGGGCGCAAGCCUGAACGAGCGAUGCCGCGUGAGUGAAGAAGGCCUUCGGGUCGUAAAGCUCUGUUGCGGGGGAAAAAAGGCAGCAUCAGGAAAUGGGUGCUGACUGAUGGUGCGCCGCCAGAAAGUCACGGCUAAUUACGUGCCAGCAGCCGCGGCAAUACGUAGGUGGCGAGCGUUAUCCGGAAGGAUUGGGCGUAAAGGGUGCGCAGGCGGUCUUGCAAGUCUGGAGUGAAACGCAUGGGCUCAACUCAUGCAUGGCUUUGGAAACUGGAGGACUGGAGAGCAGGAGAGGGCGGUGGAACUCCAUGUGUAGCGGUAAAAUGCGUAGAUAUAUGGAAGAACACCAGUGGCGAAGGCGGCCGCCUGGCCUGUUGCUGACGCUGAGGCACGAAAGCGUGGGUAGCGAACGGGAUUAGAUACCCUGGUAGUC
This 465-nucleotide ribosomal RNA is filed under the name uncultured bacterium. RNAcentral describes it as "partial 16S ribosomal RNA". It matches the Rfam family "Bacterial small subunit ribosomal RNA", at positions 338 to 795 of the family's 1533-position model. The record is from RNAcentral.